RNAcentral lists this transfer RNA (72 nucleotides) under Marmota marmota marmota (Alpine marmot). It matches the Rfam family "tRNA". From Rfam's summary of the family: Transfer RNA (tRNA) molecules are approximately 80 nucleotides in length. Their secondary structure includes four short double-helical elements and three loops (D, anti-codon, and T loops). The record is from Rfam by way of RNAcentral. RNAcentral also lists the same sequence under 1 other name. Lineage: Eukaryota; Metazoa; Chordata; Mammalia; Rodentia; Sciuridae.
UGGGUUGGGGCUCAGUGGCAGAGUGCUUGCCUACCAUGUAUGAGGCACUGGGUUCAAUUCUCAGCACCACAU